Molecule: unclassified non-coding RNA, 268 nt
Filed under: Hevea brasiliensis (rubber tree)
Lineage: Eukaryota; Viridiplantae; Streptophyta; Magnoliopsida; Malpighiales; Euphorbiaceae
Source: RNAcentral
UUGCUGUAUUGACCGCAUCUUUUGGUGUAACUGGUUAUUCCUUACCUUGGGACCAAAUUGGUUAUUGGGCGGUCAAAAUUGUAACAGGCGUGCCGGAAGCUAUUCCUGUAAUAGGAUCGCCUUUGGUGGAGUUAUUACGCGGAAGUGCUAGUGUAGGACAAUCCACUUUGACUCGUUUUUAUAGUUUACACACUUUUGUAUUACCUCUUCUUACUGCCGUAUUUAUGUUAAUGCACUUUUUAAUGAUACGUAAGCAGGGUAUUUCAGG